Molecule: non-coding RNA, 665 nt
Organism: Meleagris gallopavo (turkey)
Lineage: Eukaryota; Metazoa; Chordata; Aves; Galliformes; Phasianidae
Source: RefSeq, a predicted model, not a curated record
GCUGCAGCCCAAGAAACCUGGCAAAAGGAUUCUGACAAGGGAAGUGCCCAAGAAACCGUGUCUCCUGAUAGCAUUUCUCUUUGAUCGGAACAACCAGGAGCCUGAGAGAAGGGUGCCUCCCCCUGAUUUUACGUGCAUUCCUCAAGGUGAGCUGGAUAGAAAGCAGCUGAUCAGAGGUUGGAGGACUUCAUGCAGCUGACAUUCAUUUGGAGCUGGACAAGGAGGCUUCAUUCUCACAAAACACUGACGUAUAUACAAAGAAGAGUCUCAUACCUACCAUUUUGAGAAGAGAAAGAAAGGCAGUAAGCUUAAACUGAAAUCUUCCUUACUUAGUUUCCAUGCAGAAAUGAAGUACAUGCUGGACAACACUUCAUAACAACAUUUUCUCUGACAAAUCUUAGAGUGAGAAGAACAUCUUUGUCAACCUUGGUACAACUGAGAUCCUCAGGAAACUCAGUUCUGAGAAAACAGGAGGUCUCCAAACUGCAGAUGACCAGAAUUGUCUAGAGUGAGCAGAAAACCUCCACUGGAUGGAGAGGAGCCUGAGGGCAUUCUGCCUGGGUAGGUGUAAGUUGUGAAGGUGGACCCUGGAUGGAGAUUUAGGGUAGAUGUUAGGUGGAAAUUGUUUACUCGGGGCAGUGAGGCGCUGGCACAGCUGCCCAGAG